AGAUAGCAUUGGUGAGCGCAUGCCCUGAUGAUGGUCCACUUUCAUAAACUUAAAAUGGAGAAAACGAUGUCAGCAUAUGGGAUUUCAAGAGUCCUUGUCUAGUUGUGAUACCAUUGGAACUUAGGGCCCUUUAAGAUCUUCACCAGUUUCAAUGUGACACACGUGGCGUUAUCACUGGUCUGGAAUACUAGGAACGACUACCCCCAACCUCGCCCCAGCGCUGUGGUUGUGGAACGUGUACUAAAACACCAUCGUGCAGGCUACGAAAGGGCAGUUUUCCAGAAUUAAUGCCCGAACGCAGAUCCCAUCAAUCUUGGCCCAAAUGUCCAAGAUGUGAAACACUUAAUGCGCUAGCAAAGAGCCCCUGUUGCCACUUUCAUUGAUCGGACGUCCUAGCAGUCUGGGUUUUUAAGGACACAGCCUGUCUGCAAAAAUAUUUUAGAGAAUGUGGAACUGUUGUGAAGAGCGAUAUACAGUUGCUUUAUCCACAUUCAAAAUGCAGAUAAGUUUUCGCUCGCAAAACAUUGUUAUUAUCACCACUUAUGGUCGUCUGUGUUUUAUUUCAAUCUUAGUGAUGUAGUCAUUUUUCAAAUUUGUGCUUUUGAUGAUGUGGAGUUGUUUGUCAGUAUAACGUUUGAGAAGAUCAUAAGCCGCACACUAACCUCAAGUAACCCGCGCAUUACUAAUAUUACUAAUUAAUUAUGAUUUUCUCAAGUGUUCUAGUUGACAAACAUAUCCAAUUCAUCAUAUAUGCACUUUUUUCUCCGGACCCAAGAAUUCAUAUUGAAAUUUGCAUGGACGGUCAUACAGUGUAGUGUAAAAUAUGAAGUAUGUGUAAGCAAGCUUGCUUUUCUUGUAUCACAUAGGUAGUUGCGAUUUCAGGGCAAAAUUACAUUUGAGAAACUUCUGUUUUAAACAGUGAGAUGUCAAUUUCAAUCAUUGAGUUGUCUGGGUAAUAAUCAUAUUACCUGAACUUUUGUGUAUUUUAUCACGAGAGAGAACUAUACCAAGUUUUGAUGUAUGCUUUCCGUUAUAGAGGGUCGAGUUACUUUAUUUAUGACUUCAUAUCCCUAGAUGAAGUUAAAAUGAGUCUCAGUUCAAUUGUGUUAAUUAAGACACUAGUCAAUGUCAUGUCUUCAGUACCUCUUUCAGUAGGAAUUGCAUGUAUUAUUGUGCUUCAUCUUGUGUACCACUAUAGUGUAUUGAGGGAAUAGUUAGUAGUCACGAGAAAAAAGUUAUUCACUUACACAAUGCUGUCCAAAACGGGACGAUAUUUAUGAACUGUAAGGCACCGUGCCACUAAAAAAAACUGAAGUUAUCGUGUUUUUAAGACUGAAGUUUCCGGGCGUGGGCAUUUUCCCGGCAUUCCCCACGAAGGGUUUAGACGGGUUUUUCCCCACGGCCCGUGGGCAUCGGGUACUACCAUUUAUUGAUUCAUUGCAUUUACAUGAUUCAUUUAUGAUUACUCGAGUACUUGAAAUUGAAUGUUAUUGUAUACAAUAGUUGAAUAAAACUAUAUUCUCUAA
Molecule: long non-coding RNA, 1526 nt
Organism: Lingula anatina
Lineage: Eukaryota; Metazoa; Brachiopoda; Lingulata; Lingulida; Lingulidae
Source: RefSeq, a predicted model, not a curated record